GUGCAUAUUGGGGAGGAAGAAAAAAUAUGCAAAAAAACCCACACCAAAAACCACCUGCUUGCAAAGAUAAAUUGAUUUCACUUCGUUUGAUAAUGCCACAAACAUUCAGGUUGGACAGGAGACGGGCAAAGGAGAGUGUAUCCCCUCUGAUAAAUGAGAAGGGAGAACUGUCUGCAACAGACAUGGAGACAGCUGAGGUACUCAAUGAGUGCCUCAGCCUUUAUUGGCAGUCAGGUUUCCCAUGCAUCUCAUGUCCCUGAAUGUCAAAGUGGAGUGGGGGGCAGGGGAGCAACAUUCCUCCCACUGUAAGAGUGCAGCAAGACCAAGACCGCUUCAUGAGACUGAAUAUGUACAAGUCUAUGGGGUGGACAACAUGCAUUCCAGGGUUCUGAAGGAGCUGGCUGAUGUAGUUGCCAAACCCCUCUCCAUCAUAUUUGAAAAGCUGUGGCUGUCACGUGAAGUCCCCAGUGACUGGAAAAGAGAAACAUCACGCGCAUUUUUAAGGAAGUGAGAAAAGGUGGCCUGGGGAACUAUAGGCCAGUGAGCCUCACCUCUGUGCCUGGGAAAUUCAUGGAGCAGAUUCUCCUAGAAGUGAUGCUGAUAGCACUGCUAUAUGCAGGGUGACUUGAGUUUGUGCCAGAAAUGACUGCACUGUGUUUCAGCCUAUAAUUGGGUUAAAAAGAGGAAAAAGGAGUACAGUGUUGGAACUCGCAAAUCAAUGAUCUCACUGAUGAAGCCGUGUAAUUCUUCAUGCACUCCAUCAUAGAAUGAUCUCGUUUGGAAAGGGGCCUUGAAGGUCACCUAGUUUGCUGAAUGUGACCUAAAUUGCAAAAUAAAAAACUUGUGCAAAGUUAGAGUGGGGCAUGCUAGCAGUAAGGCUACUUGCAAAUUGUUACGUUAAGGCAUUGUAUGCAUUCAGCAGUUUUCUUUGUGGUCUUUCUCCACUGUACAAACUAAUAUAUUCCUCAGUAAGGUGCAUUAGAGAUGAAUGUUCCAGAUGCAGACUGGAAGGAAAGGCAAUUAACGGAUGGCCUGCUGUGAAAUCUCUGGGCACCAACAGUUUCUGCACAGAAUUUUAUAAUUUUUAAGGAACAAUUGGUUUUCCUGCUAUGUGGGGUGACUGAAUGCAAACAGUUUCUGAAAGAGGAGAGCAGCUCAAUCAUUUUCACAACAGCUAAAACCCUACAGGUCUGCAUGUAGGUUUCUACUUUCAUCAAAUAGUAGCAAAGACUUGGUGACAAGCUGGUUCCUCUGGACCAGAGAAAAUUCUCCUUUCUUUUAUGGGCACACAUCAUUUCAGCUCUGAUGAGGGGAGAGCAGAUUUCUGAUAUCUUGUAAAGAAUCCGAGGAAGAGCAGUGUCUGAUGCAGGCCUCCAUCACACAGAAGGGACAGCAUAAAAGGGCAAAAUUGUUGGCCUUGAUCUCAAUUGCUGGCUUGCUGGCAGAAGUAACAAGUGAGAGGGGCUUUUUAUUUUUUAAUUCCCUCCCUCCUACAUCAUUAUUGGUCUGAGUAUGGAAAGAAUUUUCUUUCUCUUUAAAGGUACGAAUAAUAAUAAAUGAGAUAAUCUGAAAAAAAGAAAAGCCAAUUCCAUAUGGUAGGAGGGUAAAGCUGCCCCAUGGGAGCUCUAUUUUUCUCCUUCAGUAAAAAAAAAAUAGCCAUCAUGCAAAUUUUAAAAUCCAGCAGCCACUGAAGGGGAAGGGGAAACAACAAAAUGCUGUGUUUGCCUGUAGCUGUGGACCAAUUAUUCUUCCAAUAGCUGCAUUCAUGUGUGCAGUUCCCUGGUUACAAAGAAUGUGGAUUUUUGGCAUUGAGCCUGUUUAUCUUAAAAUCCAUUUUUUGUUUAUUUUAAGUGAGCUUGCUGAUGCAGUACACUUAUUGGUGAUGAUUUAGAUAUGAAGUUAAUCUAUAACUGUUAGUAAAGCCAUGUAUUGGUGUAGCUCUGAAGCAUUAAGAUGACUGUUUUAACUUUACCAAUGUGUUUUUUAUAGUUUAAGAUUUUAGUGAAGUCAGCAGCAAGCAAACACAAUGAGGUGUGACUUGGCUACUGUAGACUUCAGUUAUAUCUUCCCUUAUUGCCUUGCAGGAACACUUCUGUUUUAAGUAACUUCUGCAUUUGAUUAUUUGGUGGGAAAUGUUUCAAAGAGGUCUGAAACGUUUGUUCUAGCUAACAGCACGUGUCCUGAGUAAAGCAGCAUUUUGCCUGAAGAAGCUGUGGGUGCCCCAUCCCUGGAGCCAUUCAAGGCCAGGCUGGAUGGGGCCUUGGGCAGUCUGAUCUGCUGGGUGCAGCCCUACCCAUGCCAGUGUCUGGGGUUGGAACCCAAUGGGCUUGAUGGGCCCUUCCAACCCAAGCUGUUCUGUGAUUCUGUGAAAGCACUUCUUGUUUCUGCCUCCCGUGGAGCUCUGGUCACUGCAAGUUUCUCCUGGCUUUGGGACCAUCCAUGCCCGUGGUUUGGCCUCAGAUCUGAAAUGGAAGCUCUAAGAAAAAGCAGCUAGAUUUAAAUAUGGCGAUAGAUGAUGGCUUGUUGUCUCCUCUUUAAUUUUACUGUACAGAAGGGAGGUCUGAGGCACCAGGGCUGCACCAGCAGAGAAUGGAUUGCUACAACUGGACAUAAAGAAAUUAUUUUCUCACAUUUUUUCCAAGCUCUAUCUUUGAAUUUACCUGCCAAAUGUGUUAAGGACAGUAUUUGUCUAAGCCAGGAACUCUCAGCACAGCCUCAAUUUCCCAACCUCUUAAUCCCACCUGACACCAGUGAGCACAUUGGACAAGGUGCUGCAGGGUGCUGGCAAGCACAGCAAAGCUGGCAGUGAGAGCAAGGCAGUGAUGCUGCACACAGCUGAGGCACACAGGCAGUCAGGGCAGCUGGGAGUCUCAUCGCUGUUUCUGCUCUGUGCUACUUGAGCCAUUCAGUGCUGCUUUGCUGCUUGAUUCUGCUCCAUCAGGAGGUUCUGAUUUAAUUUGUAGUUAAAAUAGUCUCAUGAACAGAAGCAAAGCACUUAAAAACAGCAGAACAAAAUUGCUGUGCUGUGUCACAGAAUUUCAAAGGGGUGACUUUUCCCACCUGUAACUUUCGGUUCUGGUUGUUUCCCGCAUGGCAGCAAUGCUGAAAUACCUCUGGUGCAAAGGUAAUAACAAAGCUAAUUUUAAAAUUCA
Molecule: long non-coding RNA, 3152 nt
Organism: Tympanuchus pallidicinctus (lesser prairie-chicken)
Lineage: Eukaryota; Metazoa; Chordata; Aves; Galliformes; Phasianidae
Exons: 2
Source: RefSeq, a predicted model, not a curated record